This 71-nucleotide transfer RNA is filed under the name Loxodonta africana (African savanna elephant). It matches the Rfam family "tRNA". Rfam says of the family: Transfer RNA (tRNA) molecules are approximately 80 nucleotides in length. Lineage: Eukaryota; Metazoa; Chordata; Mammalia; Proboscidea; Elephantidae. The record is from Rfam by way of RNAcentral.
GCAGUGGUGGCUGAGUGGUAGAAUUCUUGCUUUCCAUGUGAGAGACCUGGGUUCAAGUCCUGGCCGAUGCA